GGGCCUGUAGCUCAGCUGGUUAGAGCGCACGGCUGAUAACCGUGAGGUCGGUGGUUCAAGUCCACCCAGGCCCACCA
Molecule: transfer RNA, 77 nt
Filed under: Desulfocapsaceae bacterium
Lineage: Bacteria; Pseudomonadati; Thermodesulfobacteriota; Desulfobulbia; Desulfobulbales; Desulfocapsaceae
Description: tRNA-Ile
Rfam family: tRNA
About the family: Transfer RNA (tRNA) molecules are approximately 80 nucleotides in length.
Source: RNAcentral